This 29-nucleotide non-coding RNA is filed under the name Mus musculus (house mouse). Lineage: Eukaryota; Metazoa; Chordata; Mammalia; Rodentia; Muridae. The record is from RNAcentral.
UGAUGUUGGACAAAGACCAGUUGGUGGAU